UCUAUCACAUCUCAAUCGUUUCAUUCGAUUUGGGUUCUUAAUAGUGUUUCACCGAUGGCCUUUUCUAUCGGGAUUGAAUCCAAAAAGACCACCAGAAUCGAGCUCCCCUAAUGCCUCUUCUCUUCUCCAACUCCAGGAUGCCAUUGCCCAAUCGAUUUCCUCAACAACCUCUUCUUCGUCUCUCCGCCUCUCCCUCAACAGGAACAAUGAGCUCUUCGCUUCUUCUCCUCACGGUUCGCUCCAUUCCCUAGGUAUCGCAUCUGGCUUGUACUGAUUUUCUGAUCUGGGUUUCUCAGAUCUGACACAAUAAGGGUCAUUAUUGGCCAAGGUGAAGCAAACGACGGGAAUCGUCGGUUUGGAUGUGGUCCCCAAUGCUAGGCAGGUCCUCAUCGAGCUCUACAACAAAACCCUAAAAGAGGUUGAGGCCAUACUAGCGGAUGAGGGUUACCGCAAGGCUAUGGAGCACUUCACACGACAACGUCUCAAGGUUUGUGAGGAAGAAGAAGAUUGGGAGGUCAUCGAGAAGCGACUUGCCUGUGGCCAGGUCGAGGAGCUUAUCAAGGAGGCGCGCAAUGAGCUCACCCUGAUCGGGAAGAUGAUUGGUCUGUGAAUAUAAUUCCAUUUUUAAACCCUAAAUUUUGAUUCCUUGUUUGAUGCUUGAUCUCUUGAUUUUGAAAUUGGUAGAACAAAUAAUUGAUAUUUGAAACUUUACUGAUCCUGACAAUUUCAAUGAUUAUAUUCAAUCUGCAUUACUGUAAAAUAACUGGAGGAAUCUUGAGCAUCUUUGAUAAUUUCGCUGAGUUGGGAUGAAUUCGGAUGUGGAUUCGCUGAGUUUGGACACGAGAAAUUCACUAACUCGUUAAAGGAAUAGGAAUGGCAACUCCUGUAGAGCCUGCAAAUGGGAUUAGAACCCCAGGAAAGCAUUACUACUCCAUGUGGCAAACCUUGUUUGAACUUGAUACAAAGUAUGUGCCCAUCAAGCCAAUUGGUCAUGGAGCUUAUGGCAUUGUUUGCUCAUCUGUUAAUAGGGAAACCAAUGAGAAGGUUGCAAUUAAGAAAAUACACAAUGUCUUCGACAACCGAAUCGAUGCUCUGAGAACUUUGAGAGAGUUGAAGCUUCGGCACGAAAAUGUGAUUGCUCUGAAAGAUGUCAUGGUGCCUAUCCAUAGGAAAAGUUUCAAGGAUGUCUACUUGGUGUAUGAACUCAUGGAUACAGAUCUGCACCAGAUUAUAAAUCUUCUCAAUCACUUAGUAAUGACCACUGCCAGUAUUUCCUUUUUCAGGAUUAGCAAUUAAAACACUUGCUGGUGUUAUCUCUCUGGCAUCUUCUGAAAUCGAUCAAUCUAUGAUUGGAACUUUGAAAAAUGAUAUAUCAAAGCUUCUAAAUGAGAUAAUGUAAAAAAGUCUGUAGGUUCUCUUUACUUUCUCAUCUAUCAGUAUCAGUAUUUAGGUAAACGGAAGCAUUUUGCCAGCAUCAGUCCUAUAUGUGUAUUGUACAUACCUCUGCUACAGUACACUUUCAGUUGUAUGUAGACCCAAAACGAACAAUGAGUUCAAAGUACAAUUAAUUCAUCAUUCAAGCAGCUGAACCAAUGGAAGAUUAGGUAGAAGUUUCACUAUACUCUUUUUAGUUUUUCUAACAAUAUUCCAUAUAUUAAGUCUUUUUUAAAUACCUUUUUCUUCUAUUUUAAGAUCGCACAUUCACUUUAAUUUUUAUUACAUAAUGUUUGCUUUAAAAUUUACAAAACUUAUGUCUUGUUCCUCCAAAUUUUCUAUAAGUAAAUAA
RNA transcript from Cannabis sativa, 1786 nucleotides. It is a transcript of the gene named mitogen-activated protein kinase homolog NTF3-like, with no coding region annotated. The record is from RefSeq and is a predicted model, not a curated record. Lineage: Eukaryota; Viridiplantae; Streptophyta; Magnoliopsida; Rosales; Cannabaceae. The transcript is spliced from 5 exons.